CACCGGCCCGUGAAGCCGGGCAGGGACGAAGUAGAGGCACGGCGUCGAUACUUGUAUUUAUACCAGUCCGGGGCUGCACCCUGAGGGAAGGUGUCACUGCUGGGAUGGGCGUGCGCAUGGAUGAGGUGACAAAGGCAAAUCAGUAGAGAGCUGAGCUGCGUGCCGUGUGUCGAAAGCAGCACUGGUGGUAGCCACGGAGCCGCUUGGCCACGUGAGCAAAUGCCCAGGGCGUUCCAAGAAGACGUCAGGCAAGAGGGCAUCUCUGAACAGCUGCGUCACCAAGCCAAGAGAGGAACUCAGAUUUGCUGAGUGACUACCGUAAACCAGGCACCUCCCAAACAAACACUGUCAUCAAGUCCUCAAAACAUCAUGGUCUCACUGAAACCUCACAACUUUCCGCAGACGGAGAAGGCUGGUGGCUGGCAGGUGGAACGUGGUUGGCAGAGGCAGGAUGCAGACUCAGACCUCUCCGUCUUCCUCGAGUGGCCCUUGCCACUCCUCCGGGUCAGGAGGACGGCGACCGACAGCUAAGGCCUCGCCUUGGGAAAGGCACAGGGAGUUCUCCCUGGCAAGAGCACAGGGUCCGGCUCUGAUGGUUUCAGUUCUUCAAAUUCAUUGCCGGCUCCCUGAACUUCCAGAUCAAGUCCAAACUCCUUAGCUUAGCACCAGGGGCACGAGAAUAAAGGUUCUAACCCAAGAUGGUCAUGGAUCCCUUGGAGAAGCAAAUAACAUGUUAUGUGUGAACUUGA
This is a long non-coding RNA of Phyllostomus discolor (pale spear-nosed bat), 749 nucleotides long. RefSeq lists it as uncharacterized. The record is from RefSeq and is a predicted model, not a curated record. The transcript has 2 exons. NCBI's taxonomy places the organism in Eukaryota, Metazoa, Chordata, Mammalia, Chiroptera, Phyllostomidae.